Molecule: ribosomal RNA, 449 nt
Filed under: uncultured bacterium
Lineage: Bacteria
Description: partial 16S ribosomal RNA
Rfam family: Bacterial small subunit ribosomal RNA
Source: RNAcentral
CCCCAGACUCCUACGGGAGGCAGCAGUGGGGGAUAUUGCACAAUGGGGGAAACCCUGAUGCAGCGACGCCGCGUGUGGGAAGACGGUCUUCUGGAUUGUAAACCACUGUCCCCAGGGACGAAAAUGACGGUACCUGGGGAGGAAGCUCCGGCUAACUACGUGCCAGCAGCCGCGGUAAUACGUAGGGAGCAAGCGUUGUCCGGAAUUACUGGGUGUAAAGGGAGCGUAGGCGGCGGCGCAAGUCCGGAGUGAAAGCCCGCGGCCCAACCGUGGGACUGCUCUGGAAACUGCGUCGCUGGAGUACGGGAGGGGCAGGCGGAAUUCCUGGUGUAGCGGUGAAAUGCGUAGAUAUCAGGAGGAACACCGGCGGCGAAGGCGGCCUGCUGGACCGUGACUGACGUUGAGGCUCGAGAGCGUGGGGAGCAAACAGGAUUAGAUACCCCCGUACU